Molecule: long non-coding RNA, 2319 nt
Filed under: Mytilus galloprovincialis (Mediterranean mussel)
Lineage: Eukaryota; Metazoa; Mollusca; Bivalvia; Mytilida; Mytilidae
Source: RNAcentral
ACCAAUUUAUUAUCUUCUUUAAGUGAUAGAUUUCUAUCUAAAACAGUGCAAGUUUUAAGUGCAGAUAAAAUACAUCAACAAUAAAUAUAUAUUAUUGUAAUUUUAUUAAAGAUAAAAAAAAACAAAUCAAUAAAAAUGGUUUGUCUGUAUUUUAAAAGCCACUUACCAAGCAAACAUUUAUUGCCAAUCAGAAAAUAUUAUUCAAUGAAGAUGUAUGUUCUUUCUGAGUAGCAUGAUUUCAUAGUAAAUCAGCAAAAUUACAGUAAAUUAUUUACUAUGUUACUAUGCAAGAAAAUGUACCUGUACUAAUUGCUCUAUACCUUUGCAACCAUUAAUGGGUAGUCAAUGCAUGUACAGGGGAGAAAAUAUCAACUUGAUAAUGCAUGUUCAACAACAGUUUUUACAGUUUUCUUUUAUGAUGACCUGAUAAUAAUGAAAUGAUAUUACAGGACUUUAAUUCUGAAACUUUCCAUUUGUACAGAAUUACCCAUCGAAUUAGAUACAAAAAAAUCUUAUAAUAUUUCUAUAAUGGAAAAGAACACUACAUUUAAGUUAUUUCACUCUGCAUUUAGAAUUUAAUGGAGGAUGUCAUAAUACUCUCUCUGAUCGUGGGAGUUUUUUCACCCCAGCAAAUGAGGUGGCUUUGGGAAUUCACACUUUCAUGAACUUUUUUUUUUUUCAAACAAGAAAGAAAGGUUUUACAUACUUUUAAAUGUACUUGUUUCACAUUCACAAUUUAAAAAUACCAGACUCAAAUAGAAAUAUUAGAAAAUGAAAAGUUAACAAAGGUCAGCAUAUUUAAAGUUAUUUUCUUAUGAUAUACUAAAGUUCUCUAAAGCUUUGAAAUGAAACAACAUUGCUGACAUGUAAUUUAGAUUUUUAGUAAUGCCAAUUCAUUGUUUACUGUUGCCUUAUUUAAUCUAAAUAUACAUGGACAAUGAUCUAUAAUUUAGUCUUAGAAUUUUCAAAGAUUUACAAUAUAAUCACAAAACAUCAAUGUGAAACUCCUCUUAUUGUUGACAAUGAUCAACCUUUUUACAAAACAAUAUUGUCAGAGUUCAAUCUAGUACACAAUUUAAUCAUUAAAUUUAUUUGCCUUUAUAAAUCAAACUGUUUAAAUUUUGAAAGAAUAUAAAAUUUCUGCAAUUAAAAUAAAUACCAUAAAUUAUUAUUUUUCUCUGGAAAAUGUUUUCCAAUCCAAGGUGAAAUGCGCAAAGUUAAGAAAAACGUUUUUUUUUAAAUAAAAUUGUCCGAUAUUAAUAAAGUUCUUUUCAUACUAAAAAAAUCCUUAGCUUGGUUAUUCUCUCACAGACCAAGCAAGUCAGCAUUGUAGUUAUCUCCCUUUGAACCAUUUUACAACUGUACAAUUUUACAAAUUUUACAACUAUACAAUUUUACAAAUUUUACAACUAUACAAUUUUACAAAUUUCAACUUUAAUUAUAACAAGACGGCAUCUUUUAUAUUGGAAUAUAUAAAACUAACAUAUGAAAAUAUGGCAAAAAUCAAACUUAUAACUAAAGGUAAUAUGAAUCUGCACUUUCAUCUUACUUAACUAUUAGUGUACAUUGUUGUACUAUCAAUCUACUAUUGGUCAAAUAUAAAACUUUAAUACACACUCCACCAACAUUGCUGACUAUACCAAACUUUUACAGUAGAAACAGUUAAGUAUUUUCUUAAUUUUUUUUUUGUGAAAAACAAUACAAACUGAAAUUUACGUACAACAUGUUUCGUUUACAACAAGACUUUGAAGAGAAAACACUGGCUACAGUAACCUCAUAAUAAUACACAACCAAAAAUCAUCCCUGAAUUAAAUAUUAGUGAAAUAUGAGAAAACUAUGACAAUUUAUUUUUUUAUAAUGCUUUAAAACAGCUGUUCCAGACCAUAUGAGUAUUUGGACCGUACGCGUACGGUCCAGCUGAUCAUACGUUUUGGGAUCAUAUGGGUUAAAUUUAAACAAACAUUUAUCAAAAUCUUUAUUUUUAGUUAUACAAAUUGUUAUUAUUACAAAAUAGAUGGCCGAUGAUAAAGUGAAUAAGCGAACAAUUGAAAUUAAAUAUUUGCUUAAUUGUAUAUCCGUGAAUUCUAUUUUGUUACUCUGGCCGAAGGUGACACUUGCUUCUAAUAAGAACGUCGUAUUUUUACAUUUACAUGUUUUGUUAAUGCAUGUUCCUUUGCGUAUGCAUUUCUUUUGUAAAGUUCAUAAAUAUUCUAAAGCAAUUGUCCUCCCACAUUAUGUUUACUUCCGAUAACUUCAAUUUCAAUGAGCAUACUGAGCUGCAAUUAAUGAAUUACCGGCCUGCAAAAUACAGGAAAUUAA